UACGUAGGGAGCAAGCGUUAUCCGGAUUUAUUGGGUGUAAAGGGUGCGUAGAAGGGAAGUCAAGUUGGUUGUGAAAUCCCUCAGCUUAACUGGGGAACUGCGUCUGAUACUGGAUGGCUUGAGAUUGGGAGAGGGAUGCGGAAUUCCAGGUGUAGCGGUGAAAUGCGUAGAUAUCUGGAGGAACACCGGUGGCGAAGGCGGCAUCCUGGACCAACACUGACACUGAGGAGCGAAAGCCAGGGGAGCAAACGGG
RNAcentral lists this ribosomal RNA (253 nucleotides) under uncultured bacterium. RNAcentral's name for it is "partial 16S ribosomal RNA". It matches the Rfam family "Bacterial small subunit ribosomal RNA", at positions 524 to 776 of the family's 1533-position model. The record is from RNAcentral.